Molecule: ribosomal RNA, 716 nt
Filed under: Rhizopus caespitosus
Lineage: Eukaryota; Fungi; Mucoromycota; Mucoromycetes; Mucorales; Rhizopodaceae
Description: SSU rRNA
Rfam family: Eukaryotic small subunit ribosomal RNA
Source: RNAcentral
UCCAAGGAAGGCAGCAGGCGCGCAAAUUACCCAAUCCCGACACGGGGAGGUAGUGACAAUACAUAACAAUGCAGGGCCUUUAAGGUCUUGCAAUUGGAAUGAGUACAAUUUAAAUCCCUUAACGAGGAUCAAUUGGAGGGCAAGUCUGGUGCCAGCAGCCGCGGUAAUUCCAGCUCCAAUAGCGUAUAUUAAAGUUGUUGCAGUUAAAACGUCCGUAGUCAAACUUUAGUCUUACCGGCGCGGUGGCCUGGUCUUCAUUGACCAAGCUCGCUGCUGCUGGAGACUCCAUGUCCGCUGACUCCUAGUCCUCGUGGCUAGGGUUUUGUGGACAAUUACCAUGAGCAAAUCAGAGUGUUUAAAGCAGGCUUUUAAGCUUGAAUGUGUUAGCAUGGAAUAAUGAAAUAUGACUUUAGUCCUAUUUUCGUUGGUUUAGGUACUAUAGUAAUGAUUAAUAGAAACGGUUGGGGGCAUUUGUAUUUGGCCGCUAGAGGUGAAAUUCUUGGAUUGGCCGAAGACAAACUACUGCGAAAGCAUUUGACCCAGGACGUUUUCAUUGAUCAAGGUCUAAAGUUAAGGGAUCGAAGACGAUUAGAUACCGUCGUAGUCUUAACCACAAACUAUGCCGACUAGAGAUUGGGCGUGUUUAUUAUGACUCGCUCAGCAUCUUAGCGAAAGUAAAGUUUUUGGGUUCUGGGGGGAGUAUGGGACGCAAGGCU